GUCAGAGCAGGGGUGAGUGUGUGUGCCCGGCCAAGGCCGGCCGCCUGGGGAGUGGACCCAGGUUGGGCGUGCAGGCCGGGGCUUCCACGCCCGUGCCCACCGAGCCCCUCACAGCGAGGAUGGGCCUGGGGCGGGCAGAGAGGGAGGGAAGCUGCGGUGGGCGGGGGUGGGGGGACCUUCUGCUGUCCCCACGUCCCGUGCUCGCCGUCGGAAUUCUGAAGAGCCGGAGCUUCUGAGCGGUCGGAACUGGAGCCCGAGAGCGCCUGGAGGACAGAUGGUGCGUCACGUAGUGGCUUCUUGCAAAGUUGUGGCCUGCUCUGUGGCCUCACCUACUCGAGGACAUGGGGGGCCUGUCCUGGCUGCGGGGCUGUGUGGCCGCCAGGCUCUGCCCACCUGCUUCUCCCUCCCUCCCUGCCGCAGACUCAGGCCGCCUCCCCUCCAGACCCUGCUCCACCCCCCACCCCCCCCACCCCCGCCGGGUGCCUUGGCUCGCAGCUUCUCCCCCUGCCUCCGCCCAGGGAGGGCGCCUGGAUGGGGCUCCACCCUGACUUGCCUCCGCAGUGAGGACCGUGGGGCUGGUGACCCAACGGCACAUGUUUAGACCCGUGAGCAGGCUGCUGUGCUGGGCCUGGCCAGGCGCAGGCCUCCCCUGUCUCUCCCCCGGACGGUGGCCAUGGGCCCCACGUGUCCGUCUGCGCUGGUCAGUCCAGCUUGGAGGCUUGGACAGCUCAUGGCUCUGGGGGCGGGGAGCCCACGAGCAGGCAGCCAGCAGGGUCAGGUCCCUGGUGAGGCCCCUGCCUGGCUUGCAGAUGGCCCCCUUCUCACUGGGUCCUCAUGCGCUGGGGACGGAGGAAGCGAGCUCUCCGGGGCUCUUCUCAUCGGGCACAGAUCCCAGUCUCUGGGCCCCGCCUGCAUGACCCGCUUUGCCCUGAACGACCGCCUCCACUGGGGGACUCAACAUACGACCCCGAGGGAUGCAGGUCAGUCUGGGCCGCCUCCUUCCGGCUGGUUCAUCCCUGUUUGUCUUCCAGGGCACCUUUGUAAGGGAUUCUUCUGUGCGCAAGGCUGGACGCGGGGCGUUGUUUCCAGAACGCCCCCUGGACUCACCAUCAAAGAGGCUAAAUUACGCUAAGGAUUUACCUGCUUCUUCCCAUCAGGUGAGGAGCCUGGAGGUGGGUGUCCUUGAGGAUCGGCCUCAUGGCCUGGGCAGCGGCAGUGAGUGGGACCAGCUUAGGGGCCUGAGCAGGAGUCUCCACCUCCUCGGACUGCAGUUUCUCUGGCAGGAAAACGGAGCGACAGCCUGGCAGACCCCCCGGCGCUGCAAGCAGGGCAGACAGGCGGCCUGAGACCCAGGGACCCGACGGUCACGGCCGCUCCGCCAGGCGCAUUCGCGGGCAUGGACCGCCAGUCUCCAGGAGCUCUGUGAAGUGACCAUGCAGCCAACCCUGCUGUCCAGGUGCUGAAAUGGCCCAGAGAGGCUGAGAGACUGCCCCAAAGCCACACAGCGCCCAGGAAGCGGCUGUGUGUCCAAUGCUCCCCCUGUCCUCCUCCCCCCACCAUUAGGAAACUCCGACUCCCAGGAGAUGACAUCCGUGGGUGACUGAGCUCAGAUAGGGCCAUGGGAUGGGACCCCUAGAGCGGAUUUGUGCCCCCAUAGGAAGAGGAAGACGCAGGAGACCCACCGCCACCCCGCAGACCCAUGCAACUACAGCAACAAGUCCGCAAACCAGCAGGGGGGUCUGGCCGGGACAUGAGCACGGAGCCACGCGAUCCCGGGCAGCCAGCCUCCAGCACUGCGAGGACUGAUCCCCGCCAUCUCAGCCGCCCAGUCUAGGGCAGCCCCAG
Molecule: long non-coding RNA, 1845 nt
Filed under: Mustela putorius furo (domestic ferret)
Lineage: Eukaryota; Metazoa; Chordata; Mammalia; Carnivora; Mustelidae
Description: lncRNA (ENSMPUG00000027704.1)
Source: RNAcentral